CCUGCCCUCACCUGGCUAUCCCACACAGGUGAGAAUAACCAGAACUCACCUCCGGUACCAGUGUUCACUUGGAAACAUGGCUCUCAGCCUCUGGCCCCUGCUGCUGCUGCUGCUGCUGCUGCUGCUGCUGUCCUUUGCAGUGACUCUGGCCCCUACUGGGCCUCAUUCCCUGGACCCUGGUCUCUCCUUCCUGAAGUCAUUGCUCUCCACUCUGGACCAGGCUCCCCAGGGCUCCCUGAGCCGCUCACGGUUCUUUACAUUCCUGGCCAACAUUUCUUCUUCCUUUGAGCCUGGGAGAAUGGGGGAAGGACCAGUAGGAGAGCCCCCACCUCUCCAGCCGCCUGCUCUGCGGCUCCAUGAUUUUCUAGUGACACUGAGAGGUAGCCCCGACUGGGAGCCAAUGCUAGGGCUGCUAGGGGAUAUGCUGGCACUGCUGGGACAGGAGCAGACUCCCCGAGAUUUCCUGGUGCACCAGGCAGGGGUGCUGGGUGGACUUGUGGAGGUGCUGCUGGGAGCCUUAGUUCCUGGGGGCCCCCCUACCCCAACUCAGCCCCCAUGCACCCGUGAUGGGCCGUCUGACUGUGUCCUGGCUGCUGACUGGUUGCCUUCUCUGCUGCUGUUGUUAGAGGGCACACGCUGGCAAGCUCUGGUGCAGGUGCAGCCCAGUGUGGACCCCACCAAUGCCACAGGCCUCGAUGGGAGGGAGGCAGCUCCUCACUUUUUGCAGGGUCUGUUGGGUUUGCUUACCCCAACAGGGGAGCUAGGCUCCAAGGAGGCUCUUUGGGGCGGUCUGCUACGCACAGUGGGGGCCCCCCUCUAUGCUGCCUUUCAGGAGGGGCUGCUCCGUGUCACUCACUCCCUGCAGGAUGAGGUCUUCUCCAUUUUGGGGCAGCCAGAGCCUGAUACCAAUGGGCAGUGCCAGGGAGGUAACCUUCAACAGCUGCUCUUAUGGGGCGUCCGGCACAACCUUUCCUGGGAUGUCCAGGCGCUGGGCUUUCUGUCUGGAUCACCACCCCCACCCCCUGCCCUCCUUCACUGCCUGAGCACGGGCGUGCCUCUGCCCAGAGCUUCUCAGCCGUCAGCCCACAUCAGCCCACGCCAACGGCGAGCCAUCACUGUGGAGGCCCUCUGUGAGAACCACUUAGGCCCAGCACCACCCUACAGCAUUUCCAACUUCUCCAUCCACUUGCUCUGCCAGCACACCAAGCCUGCCACUCCACAGCCCCAUCCCAGCACCACUGCCAUCUGCCAGACAGCUGUGUGGUAUGCAGUGUCCUGGGCACCAGGUGCCCAAGGCUGGCUACAGGCCUGCCACGACCAGUUUCCUGAUGAGUUUUUGGAUGCGAUCUGCAGUAACCUCUCCUUUUCAGCCCUGUCUGGCUCCAACCGCCGCCUGGUGAAGCGGCUCUGUGCUGGCCUGCUCCCACCCCCUACCAGCUGCCCUGAAGGCCUGCCCCCUGUUCCCCUCACCCCAGACAUCUUUUGGGGCUGCUUCUUGGAGAAUGAGACUCUGUGGGCUGAGCGACUGUGUGGGGAGGCAAGUCUACAGGCUGUGCCCCCCAGCAACCAGGCUUGGGUCCAGCAUGUGUGCCAGGGCCCCACCCCAGAUGUCACUGCCUCCCCACCAUGCCACAUUGGACCCUGUGGGGAACGCUGCCCGGAUGGGGGCAGCUUCCUGGUGAUGGUCUGUGCCAAUGACACCAUGUAUGAGGUCCUGGUGCCCUUCUGGCCUUGGCUAGCAGGCCAAUGCAGGAUAAGUCGUGGGGGCAAUGACACUUGCUUCCUAGAAGGGCUGCUGGGCCCCCUUCUGCCCUCUCUGCCACCACUGGGACCAUCCCCACUCUGUCUGACCCCUGGCCCCUUCCUCCUUGGCAUGCUAUCCCAGUUGCCACGCUGUCAGUCCUCUGUCCCAGCUCUUGCUCACCCCACACGCCUACACUAUCUCCUCCGCCUGCUGACCUUCCUCUUGGGUCCAGGGGCUGGGGGCGCUGAGGCCCAGGGGAUGCUGGGUCGGGCCCUACUGCUCUCCAGUCUCCCAGACAACUGCUCCUUCUGGGAUGCCUUUCGCCCAGAGGGCCGGCGCAGUGUGCUACGGACGAUUGGGGAAUACCUGGAACAAGAUGAGGAGCAGCCAACCCCAUCAGGCUUUGAACCCACUGUCAACCCCAGCUCUGGUAUAAGCAAGAUGGAGCUGCUGGCCUGCUUUAGUCCUGUGCUGUGGGAUCUGCUCCAGAGGGAAAAGAGUGUUUGGGCCCUGCAGAUUCUAGUGCAGGCGUACCUGCAUAUGCCCCCAGAAAACCUCCAGCAGCUGGUGCUUUCAGCAGAGAGGGAGGCUGCACAGGGCUUCCUGACACUCAUGCUGCAGGGGAAGCUGCAGGGGAAGCUGCAGGUACCACCAUCCGAGGAGCAGGCCCUGGGUCGCCUGACAGCCCUGCUGCUCCAGCGGUACCCACGCCUCACCUCCCAGCUCUUCAUUGACCUGUCACCACUCAUCCCUUUCUUGGCUGUCUCUGACCUGAUGCGCUUCCCACCAUCCCUGUUAGCCAACGACAGUGUACAGCAGGGCUACAGAGGGUCAGAGGAAAACAGUUUGGAGGAAGACAAAGGGUUAAGACCCAUGACUCCUCGCAGCCUGGCUGCCAUCCGGGAUUACAGCCCAGGAAUGAGGCCUGAACAGAAGGAGGCUCUGGCAAAGCGACUGCUGGCCCCUGAACUGUUUGGGGAAGUGCCUGCCUGGCCCCAGGAGCUGCUGUGGGCAGUGCUGCCCCUGCUCCCCCACCUCCCUCUGGAGAACUUUUUGCAGCUCAGCCCUCACCAGAUCCAGGCCCUGGAGGAUAGCUGGCCAGCAGCAGGUCUGGGGCCAGGGCAUGCCCGCCAUGUGCUGCGCAGCCUGGUAAACCAGAGUGUCCAGGAUGGUGAGGAGCAGGUACGCAGGUGGCAUAUGAACUUCUGGGUGUGUUGCGCUCAUCUGGAGGAGCGGUGCUGAGCCCCCGGGAGCUGCGGGUCUGGGCCCCUCUCUUCUCUCAGCUGGGCCUCCGCUUCCUUCAGGAGCUGUCAGAGCCCCAGCUUAGAGCCAUGCUUCCUGUCCUGCAGGGAACUAGUGUUACACCUGCUCAGGCUGUCCUGCUGCUUGGACGGCUCCUUCCUAGGCACGAUCUAUCCCUGGAGGAACUCUGCUCCUUGCACCUUCUGCUACCAGGCCUCAGCCCCCAGACACUCCAGGCCAUCCCUAGGCGAGUCCUGGUCGGGGCUUGUUCCUGCCUGGCCCCUGAACUGUCACGCCUCUCAGCCUGCCAGACCGCAGCACUGCUGCAGACCUUUCGGGUUAAAGAUGGUGUUAAAAAUAUGGGUACAACAGGUGCUGGUCCAGCUGUGUGCAUCCCUGGUCAGCCUAUUCCCACCACCUGGCCAGACUGCCUGCUUCCCCUGCUCCCAUUAAAGCUGCUACAACUGGAUUCCUUGGCUCUUCUGGCAAAUCGAAGACGCUACUGGGAGCUGCCCUGGUCUGAGCAGCAGGCACAGUUUCUCUGGAAGAAGAUGCAAGUACCCACCAACCUGACCCUCAGGAAUCUACAGGCUCUGGGCACCCUGGCAGGAGGCAUGUCCUGUGAGUUUCUGCAGCAGAUCAACUCCAUGGUAGACUUCCUUGAAGUGGUGCACAUGAUCUAUCAGCUGCCCACUAGAGUUCGAGGGAGCCUGAGGGCCUGUAUCUGGGCAGAGCUACAGCGGAGGAUGGCAAUGCCAGAACCAGAAUGGACAACUGUAGGGCCAGAACUGAACGGGCUGGAUAGCAAGCUACUCCUGGACUUACCAAUCCAGUUGAUGGACAGACUAUCCAAUGAAUCCAUUAUGUUGGUGGUGGAGCUGGUGCAAAGAGCUCCAGAGCAGCUGCUGGCACUGACCCCCCUCCACCAGGCAGCCCUGGCAGAGAGGGCACUACAAAACCUGGUUCCUGUCUACAAGGCCUGGCCCGUUUUGCCUCUGGGUUCUGUUCCUUGAUAAUAUGCUUCACGUUACUUGUCCAUACCUCUUGGAGUCCGAGAAAUCUCUUGGAGUCCACCUCUCAGUCUUUCUGCCUGCUCCUAUCUGGUCUCAUUGCUUAAGAAAGUGAACAAAGGCUCCAAAGGAGACUCCAGUCUCAGGGGAAGUGCUGGAGACCUUAGGCCCUUUGGUUGGAUUCCUGGGGACAGAGAGCACACGACAGAUCCCCCUACAGAUCCUGCUGUCCCAUCUCAGUCAGCUGUAAGGCUUCUGCCUAGGAGAGACAUUUGCCACAGAGCUGGGAUGGCUGCUAUUGCAGGAGUCUGUUCUUGGGAAACCAGAGUUGUGGAGCCAGGAUGAAGUAGAGCAAGCUGGACGCCUAGUAUUCACUCUGUCUACUGAGGCAAUUUCCUUGAUCCCCAGGGAGGCCUUGGGUCCAGAGACCCUGGAGCGGCUUCUAGAAAAGCAGCAGAGCUGGGAGCAGAGCAGAGUUGGACAGCUGUGUAGGGGGCCACAGCUUGCUGCCAAGAAAGCAGCCCUGGUAGCAGGGGUGGUGCGACCAGCUGCUGAGGAUCUUCCAGUUGUGGGGUCCCCCCCGGGGAUUUGGUCCUGAGCAGAUCCUGCAGCUCGGUAGACUCUUAAUAGGUCUGGGAGAUCAGGAACUACAGGAGCUGAUCCUAGUGGACUGGGGAGUGCUGAGCACCCUGGGGCAGAUAGAUGGCUGGAGCUCCACUCAGCUCCGCAUUGUGGUCUCCAGUUUCCUACGGCAGAGUGGUCGGCAUGUGAGCCACCUGGACUUCGUUCAUCUGACAGCGCUGGGUUAUACUCUCUGUGGACUGCGGCCAGAGGAGCUCCAGCACAUCAGCAGUUGGGAGUUUAGCCAAGCAGCUCUCUUCCUGGGCACCCUGCAUCUGCAGUGCUCUGAGGAACAACUGGAGUUUCUGGCCCACCUCUUUGUACUGCCUGGUGGGUUUGGCCCAAUCAGUAACUGGGGGCCUGAGAUCUUCACUGAAAUUGGCACCAUAGCAGCUGGGAUCCCAGACCUGGCUCUUUCAGCACUGCUGCGGGGACAGAUCCAGGGCGUUACUCCUCUUGCCAUUUCUGUCAUCCCUCCUCCUAAAUUUGCUGUGGUGUUUAGUCCCAUCCAACUAUCUAGUCUCGCCAGUGCUCAGGCUGUGGCUGUCACUCCUGAGCAAAUGGCCUUUCUGAGUCCUGAGCAGCGACGAGCAGUUGCAUGGGCCCAACAUGAGGGAAAGGAGAGCCCAGAACAGCAAGGUCGAAGUACAGCCUGGGGCCUCCAGGACUGGUCACGACCUUCCUGGUCCCUGGUAUUGACUAUCAGCUUCCUUGGCCACCUGCUAUGAGCCUGUCUCUACAGUAGAAGGAGAUUGUGGGGAGAGAAAUCUUAAGU
Long non-coding RNA from Homo sapiens (human), 5392 nucleotides. Ensembl annotates it as stereocilin pseudogene 1. Its record names the gene STRCP1. NCBI's taxonomy places the organism in Eukaryota, Metazoa, Chordata, Mammalia, Primates, Hominidae. The record is from Ensembl.